This 585-nucleotide ribosomal RNA is filed under the name Triticum aestivum (bread wheat). Its description in RNAcentral is "partial small subunit ribosomal RNA". The record is from RNAcentral. Lineage: Eukaryota; Viridiplantae; Streptophyta; Magnoliopsida; Poales; Poaceae.
AUGGUUCAGUUGUACGCUGCAGAGCAAGGGGAGCCAAUCAUCACCGAAGUGCCGGUGCCUGCUGAAGUUGAGGCCCUGAUCAGCGAGUUUGGACACCUGUUUGAGGAACCUAAAGGACUACCACCACAGCGCUCUUUCGAUCACACAAUUCCUCUCCUGCCCGGGGCGAAACGUGUCAACGUGCGCCCAUAUCGAUAUAGCCCGGCCCAGAAAGAUGAGAUUGAGAAACAGGUUGCAGACUUGCUUGCCCAAGGUAUCAUCACGCCCAGCUCCAGCCCCUUCGCUUCACCAGUGCUGCUCGUUCAGAAGAAGGAUUUGUCUUGGCGUUUCUGCGUGGACUACCGACAACUCAAUGCGGUGACAGUUAAGAACCGCUACCCUCUGCCUGUCAUCGACGAGCUACUGGACGAGCUGGCUGGUUCCACGCUGUUCACCAGUCUAGAUCUCCGGGCCGGAUAUCAUCAGAUUCGUAUGAAGCCUGAGGAUGAACAAAGACCGCUUUCAAGACCCACCAUGGCCACUUUGAGUUCAAGGUUUUGGCGUACGGCCUCACGGGGGGACCGACGACUUUCCAAGGAGGAAUGA